RNAcentral lists this ribosomal RNA (253 nucleotides) under uncultured bacterium. RNAcentral's name for it is "partial 16S ribosomal RNA". It matches the Rfam family "Bacterial small subunit ribosomal RNA", at positions 524 to 776 of the family's 1533-position model. The record is from RNAcentral.
UACGUAGGGUGCAAGCGUUAAUCGGAAUUACUGGGCGUAAAGCGUGCGCAGGCGGUUAUGUAAGACAGAGGUGAAAUUCCCGGGCUCAACCUGGGAACUGCCUUUGUGACUGCAUAGCUGGAGUACGGCAGAGGGGGAUGGAAUUCCGCGUGUAGCAGUGAAAUGCGUAGAUAUGCGGAGGAACACCGAUGGCGAAGGCAAUCCCCUGGGCCUGUACUGACGCUCAUGCACGAAAGCGUGGGGAGAAAACAGG